AAGGAAUAUUGGACAAUGGACGCAAGUCUGAUCCAGCCAUGCCGCGUGAAGGAUGACUGCCCUCUGGGUUGUAAACUUCUUUUAUAGGGGAAGAAAGUUAUUUUUUUUAGGAUAUUUGACGGUACCCUAUGAAUAAGCACCGGCUAACUCCGUGCCAGCAGCCGCGGUAAUACGGAGGGUGCAAGCGUUAUCCGGAUUCACUGGGUUUAAAGGGUGCGUAGGCGGGUAUGUAAGUCAGUGGUGAAAUACCGGAGCUUAACUUCGGAACUGCCAUUGAUACUAUAUAUCUUGAAUAUUGUGGAGGUAAGCGGAAUAUGUCAUGUAGCGGUGAAAUGCUUAGAGAUGACAUAGAACACCGAUUGCGAAGGCAGCUUGCUACGCAAAUAUUGACGCUGAGGCACGAAAGCGUGGGGAUCAAAC
RNAcentral lists this ribosomal RNA (420 nucleotides) under uncultured bacterium. Its description in RNAcentral is "bacterial SSU rRNA". It matches the Rfam family "Bacterial small subunit ribosomal RNA", at positions 356 to 773 of the family's 1533-position model. The record is from RNAcentral.